Molecule: long non-coding RNA, 766 nt
Filed under: Mustela putorius furo (domestic ferret)
Lineage: Eukaryota; Metazoa; Chordata; Mammalia; Carnivora; Mustelidae
Description: lncRNA (ENSMPUG00000027289.1)
Source: RNAcentral
CACACACACACACACGCACAGCAGCCUGAAGCAGAUGUCAGAGCUGGGUCGGGAUAAGGAGGGUAGCCACACUGGGUGGAUGGGCCUAGGAUGGGAAACCAGAGGCUGACUUGGAGGAGGAGGGGUCCAUAGGUAGGCCAACCCACAGUGAGGGGCUGUCUGAAUGGAGGGGAGGGGAGCCCUGCCUGGGAGGUCAGAGCCUGAGGGGUCGGGGAUGCAGAGGGAGGAGGGACUGUCCCAACCCUAACCCUUGGGGCUGGCCUCCUUCUCUGCCUGCCCAAACCCCUUCUAAAGCCAGGGAAUACCUGGGACCCCUUGCCAAGUCAACCGAAGUGCCCAUCCGUUCAGCAUCCCUGAGCACCACGGAUGGGCCCAACAGUGUGCCUGGUGCUGGGGAGAGACCCAGGCUAAAGCUUACCUCCCAGCAGGGAGGCCAGACGUGGAGCCAGCAUUCAUGAAGGGGAGGGGUGGGAGCGUGGAAGAGGAUGGCGUGACCUUUCAUGGGGGAUCAGAAGCUGUCCAGAUUGGAGGUCCGACAUCCCUCAUAAUUGAGAAGUCCUGCUUGGUGUUUCGCUCAAAACUUUCCUGCGCCCUCUGUUCUGAAGACAAGUGGCUCGCCGAAGGCCCUUUGCCACUACCAGCACAGAAGUGCUGAUAAUCUGUGCCACGAAGCCGUGGGGAGGAUAUCCAUUCAGUUGGUGAGCUAAGGUCUGUACCAAAACCCUCCUUCAGGCAGAGGCUCCGUAACCAUCCUUAUCUCUCCCUU